Molecule: ribosomal RNA, 492 nt
Filed under: uncultured bacterium
Lineage: Bacteria
Description: partial 16S ribosomal RNA
Rfam family: Bacterial small subunit ribosomal RNA
Source: RNAcentral
AGUGAACGCUGGCGGUAGGCUUAACACAUGCAAGUCGAACGGCAGCACAGUAAUAGCUUGUUCUUACGGGUGGCGAGUGGUGAAUGGGUGAGGAAUACAUCGGACUCUACACUUUGGUGGGGGAUAACGUAGGGUAACUUAAGCUAAUACCGCAUACGACCUACGGGUGUAAGCAGGGGAUCUUCGGACCUUGCGCGAUUGUAUGAGCCGAUGUAGGAUUAGCUAGUUGGCGGGGUAAAGGCCCACAAAGGCGACGAUCCGGAGCUGGUCUGAGAAGGCGAGCAGGCACACCUGAGCUGGUGCACGGUCCAGACGCCUACGAGAGGCAGCAGUGAGGAAUACGGGACGAUGGAGUGAAGCCUAAUCCAGCCAUACCGCGUGGGUGAAGAAGGCCUUCUGUUUGUAAGACCAUGGUGUUGGGAAAGAAAAGCAGCAGCUGAAUACCCCACGUUUCUGACGGUACCCAAAGAAGAAGCACCGGCUAACUUCGUG